UCUCAGCUCACUGAAACCUCUGCCUCCUGAGUUGAAGUGAUUCUUCUGCCUCAGCCUCCCAAGGCACCUCAGCUUUUGAAUGUGUGGCCACUGCCACCUUCAUGGCCCUGGGCAGCUCGACACUAAAUUUCCAACCACCCCUUCCGGUAUGAUGAGGCUGCCUGGCCAUCCUAGGUGGAAUCAACCACACUCAGCUCUGUGGAAGACGAAAUGCCCAACACUUCCCCAGAGCCGCCUGCAGCAACUGACACCCGCCUGCCUCGGCUGCUGCUCCACCUGCUCAGGCCUGCCUCCAGAGUUGUCAGAUAGGCGGCAAGCCAAAGGGAUCCUCAUGUUCACAGAAAGUCUUCCUGAAACCCAAGUGGACACCCAGAUCAGAGACCAUGAAGUGAAACAGAUGGAGAAACUCCCUGGAAAGUUUCACUGGGAACAAACACUGGAUUAUUCAGACUAGCCUGGACCGUGAAAAAAAUUCUACUAGAAGCAUUGUGAGCUGAAUCCAGGUGCCCUGGCUUCAAAUCCUAUCAGAGGUGGGUUCUGACAUGAGGUAGAUUAUGAGCCCACAGCCACCAGGAAGAACCAGUCACAGGCAAGAGCUUUUAGCCCUGCCCAGAAGGAAAGGACCACCAAGUUCCCAAAAGCAGCAGACAAGUGUCCUCCAGGAACUGAGAGACUCAGCCUGGUACUGUGUGCUAAUAAUUACACCGGGCUUUUUUGUUUUUUAAAGAAAAAUAAGUUGUAAAAUUCCAGCACUUUGGGAGGCCAAGGCAGGUGGAUCCCUUGAGCCCAGGAGUUUGAGACCAGCCUGGACAACAUAGUGAA
Molecule: long non-coding RNA, 822 nt
Organism: Rhinopithecus roxellana (golden snub-nosed monkey)
Lineage: Eukaryota; Metazoa; Chordata; Mammalia; Primates; Cercopithecidae
Exons: 3
Source: RefSeq, a predicted model, not a curated record